UGGGGGAUAUUGCACAAUGGGGGGAACCCUGAUGCAGCGACGCCGCGUGGACGAGGAAGUAUUUCGGUAUGUAAAGUCCUAUCAGCAGGGAAGAAGCAUGUUGAAAGACACAUGCGUGACGGUACCUGACUAAGAAGCACCGGCUAAAUACGUGCCAGCAGCCGCGGUAAUACGUAUGGUGCAAGCGUUAUCCGGAUUUACUGGGUGUAAAGGGAGCGCAGGCGGCGCGCCAAGUCUGAUGUGAAAGCCCGGGGCCCAACCCCGGCACUGCAUUGGAAACUGGCGUGCUUGAGUGUCGGAGGGGCAAGUGGAAUUCCUAGUGUAGCGGUGAAAUGCGUAGAUAUUAGGAGGAACACCAGUGGCGAAGGCGGCUUGCUGGACGACUACUGACGCUGAGGCUCGAAAGCGUGGGGAGCAAACAGG
Molecule: ribosomal RNA, 423 nt
Filed under: uncultured bacterium
Lineage: Bacteria
Description: bacterial SSU rRNA
Rfam family: Bacterial small subunit ribosomal RNA
Source: RNAcentral